Molecule: long non-coding RNA, 1090 nt
Filed under: Malus domestica (apple)
Lineage: Eukaryota; Viridiplantae; Streptophyta; Magnoliopsida; Rosales; Rosaceae
Description: long non-coding RNA (MDOM_LNC014576)
Source: RNAcentral
UCCUCUUGCAUCAAAGGAAACUAGUCAUUUACAAUCCGGCAGACAGAAACUUCCGAGCCGUCUUUGCCGGGGAUGUACACUCUUCUCAAGUGGCUUGUACAUGGAGAGCCUUGCUUCACCCACCAUGAAAUACUCCAUGGUCAGAUAGCUGAACGUAUUAUCACGUACUUAAUUAAAGAUAAUCAUCAGUAAUCACAAGGGCGAAAGAAAGAAGAAAAUCAGGCUAUCCACUAUUAAGUUACUAUCUUGUCCAAAUGAUUGUAAUAUUAAUUUGUAUCUUCCUCAUUAUUUCACUUCCAACGUGAACUGGUUUGUUUGCUUAUGGGUUGGACUCAAGCCAGUGGCAGUCAAAGAUUCACGAUAUAAUUAAAUAUGUACCUUAAAAAAAAUUAUGAUGUCAUGAAGUAUAUUUUUGUGUUUUUGACUAAUAUCUAAGAUUAAAAAGAAUACAAUAUUAUAAAGCACCAUAGAAUCAUUAUUAUAAUACAAAUUAAGAGUAAUGCUACACUAAAUUUUUAAACCAUAUAAUACAUCACAAAUAGAAAAUAAUUACGUUAAUUUAUACGUAACUAAUAAUCCAAUCAGAAAAUUCAAAAUUUUAAAUCAAAUUUUAAAGAAAUUUUUCAGAAGUCGCCACACGAGACAGUUGUAGUUCUCAACGAAUCAAAAGCUGACGUCUGUCUCCUUUGUUUUCAAACAAGAAAAUGCCAAUUAAAAUUUUUAUCAAACAAAAUAUCUAAAUUGUCCCUAUCAGACCACCUCGUCAACACCAACUACACACCUAACACCACAAUUACCUCCAUCGCCGACCGACGAUUUUAUCGGUGAAUAUCUUCUCUCUUCUCUUACUUGUCUUUUUCAUCUCCUUCUAUUUCUCCACUAUUUCUUCGACAUGGAAGCUAAGGGAUGUUCGGCGUCAACUCCAACCACAGAUCUGGUGUCGCCAACCGCCGAUCUAGUAGCUGGUCAAGUGAUUAAAUUCCCGUGUAACCGUGUUCUUCUCCGACGAAGGGAGGAGGAUAAAAAGAAAGAUAUGAGAAAGAAAGAGAAAGGGCAACAGACAGGUAUGAAAGGGAGGUAUAGGUGAGGU